Molecule: ribosomal RNA, 568 nt
Filed under: uncultured archaeon
Lineage: Archaea
Description: bacterial SSU rRNA
Rfam family: Archaeal small subunit ribosomal RNA
Source: RNAcentral
CGCGAAUUCGCCCUUCGGGGUGCAGCAGGCGCGAAAACUCUACAAUGCAGGCAACUGCGAUAGGGGAACAUCGAGUGAUACUCAUCUUGGGUAUCUGUCCUCCCGUCUAAAAAACGGGAGUUAGCAAGGGCCGGGCAAGACCGGUGCCAGCCGCCGCGGUAAUACCGGCGGCUCGAGUGGUGGCCGAUAUUAUUGAGUCUAAAGGGUCCGUAGCCGGCUUUGCAAGUCUUUUGGGAAAUCCAGCGGCUUAACCGUUGGUCGUCCGGGAGAUACUACAUUGCUUGGGACUGGGAGAGGUAGGAGGUACUCAGGGGGUAGGAGUGAAAUCCUGUAAUCCUUUGGGGACCACCGGUGGCGAAGGCGUCCUACCAGAACAGGUCCGACGGUGAGGGACGAAAGCUAGGGGCACGAACCGGAUUAGAUACCCGGGUAGUCCUAGCCGUAAACGAUGCUCGCUAGGUGUCACAACAAUCGUGAAUUGUUGUGGUGCCGUAGGGAAGCCGUGAAGCGAGCCACUUGGGAAGUACGACCGCAAGGUUGAAACUUAAAGGAAUUGGCGGGGGAGCAC